AUGCUGAGUGUCUGGGAAAGGAAACUUCAGCUGCCAGGAAGCUCAGAACUAAAUCCGAUGCAAGCCUGUGGGUCAUUCAAGUGGUUGGCGAAGAAACUCACCCUCUCUGAGUCUGCCCUGUGGGGCUGGAAGAGUCUGUCUGCUGUCCACUCACCGUUCAUCGCUCCCACCCAGGGUCUGUGGGGUCGUCACCACCUGUUGUCUGGACACUUGUUCUCCCUGGACCUUCCUCCUUUAUCGAUCUGUAUCAUCUCCAGCCUCCCUCUUGGAAGGAAUUAAGCUUGAUGGUGUCUGAGGCCUCUUUCCACGACAGCAAAGCAGCAGCAGCAGAUGGUAUGAAGCUCAGAAUCUCCAAUGAAGCCAUUUGCUGAGCCCAGGUGCCCAUCUGGUGCCAGCAUCAUCCAGCCAACCCUCAUCGUGGCAGGCCCAUGAGUGCUGGUCUCGGGCCCAAAGUUCUCAGAAGAGGGAGCUGAAUGGGAAAGAGGGGGACUGAUAUCCUGAGGCCACGGAGUUACCAGUGCUGAGAUUCACCUGGGUGCUGGCGCAGGACACACUCAUAAACACUAGUGUCCUGCUGAGUGGAACGUCUGUGGAGUGGACCCCUGGCCUCCUGGACCUAGUGUGGCUCUCACCCUACUGAGCUGUCUGCAUGUCAGUGACUGUCUCCUUCUGUCUGGACCUUGGUGGGCCUGCAAAGCUGAAUGCUGAUUCGUGAUCCUGUCCAAGGGUGAGGACGGCACCAGCCCCAAGCCUUCCUGUGACUGGUCCUCACACACCUUGGGAGUCCUCUUCAUUCGGCAUCAAUCUCCUGGCCCCAGUCAGGCCCCCCCAGCUUCUUAAAUCCCUGAGAGGGGGAGGGGGAAAGUGGGAACCCAGGUUUCAAAGAACACAGGUUUUCUGAAAUGAGGAAGAGGUCCCAAAUAAAGCAACAAUGGAAAGCUACUCACUGUGGUCUGUGGGCUGAGCUUCCUGAUCCUGCUGGGUGCUGAGGAGUCCUGGUAGUUGUGCGUUAAGGAGCUGGCCCUGGGUCCCAGUCAGAGCUACUGUUCAACAGCCACCCAAGUCAGCUUUCUCUUGCUUUUACUCUUUUUCACAGAUGAGUGAGCAUGAGGAGGUCUGGCCUUCCGUCCCUCUCACCACUUCCCCUCUGGGUCCCCAGUACCACAGCAUUCUGUCCCUGUAAUUGUGUUAUUUCUCACAAGGAACUCUGACCAGGGAGGGGAGGGGCAUCUGUAUAGCCCCUGGAGUCAAGGGACUUGAGUUCUAAUCCCAUGUAGCUCUUAUGACCUUGAGCAAUUCACUUAAUCUUCUUAAACC
Molecule: long non-coding RNA, 1317 nt
Filed under: Canis lupus familiaris (dog)
Lineage: Eukaryota; Metazoa; Chordata; Mammalia; Carnivora; Canidae
Description: lncRNA (ENSCAFG00845014652.1)
Source: RNAcentral